GACAGAGGUCCCGAGCGUUAGGCGGAAUCACUGGGCUUAAAGCGUGUGUAGGCGGCGGCCUAAGUACCUUGUGAAAUCCCACGGCUCACCCGUGGAACUGCUCGGUAUACUGGGUCGCUUGAGCCACUUAGGGGGCUACCGGGAACAAAUGGUGGAGCGGUGAAAUGCGUAGAUAUCGUUUGGAACGCCAAUGGUGAAAACAGGUUGCUGGGAGUGUGCUGACGCUGGAGACACGGAAAGCCAGGGGGAGCAAACGGG
RNAcentral lists this ribosomal RNA (258 nucleotides) under uncultured bacterium. RNAcentral's name for it is "partial 16S ribosomal RNA". It matches the Rfam family "Bacterial small subunit ribosomal RNA", at positions 524 to 776 of the family's 1533-position model. The record is from RNAcentral.